Molecule: small RNA, 16 nt
Filed under: Arabidopsis thaliana (thale cress)
Lineage: Eukaryota; Viridiplantae; Streptophyta; Magnoliopsida; Brassicales; Brassicaceae
Description: ATSL070910
Source: RNAcentral
AAAACAUAUACAACUC